RNAcentral lists this ribosomal RNA (497 nucleotides) under uncultured bacterium. Its description in RNAcentral is "partial 16S ribosomal RNA". It matches the Rfam family "Bacterial small subunit ribosomal RNA", at positions 28 to 507 of the family's 1533-position model. The record is from RNAcentral.
GAUGAACGCUGGCGGCGUGCCUAAUACAUGCCAGUCGAGCGAACGGACGAGAAGCUUGCUUCUCUGAUGUUAGCGGCGGACGGGUGAGUAACACGUGGAUAACCUACCUAUAAGACUGGGAUAACUUCGGGAAACCGGAGCUAAUACCGGAUAAUAUUUUGAACCGCAUGGUUCAAAAGUGAGAGACGGUCUUGCUGUCACUUAUAGAUGGAUCCGCGCUGCAUUAGCUAGUUGGUAAGGUAACGGCUUACCAAGGCAACGAUGCAUAGCCGACCUGAGAGGGUGAUCGGCCACACUGGAACUGAGACACGGUCCAGACUCCUACGGGAGGCAGCAGUAGGGAAUCUUCCGCAAUGGGCGAAAGCCUGACGGGGCAACGCCGCGUGAGUGAUGAAGGUCUUCGGAUCGUAAAACUCUGUUAUUAGGGAAGAACAUAUGUGUAAGUAACUGUGCACAUCUUGACGGUACCUAAUCAGAAAGCCACGGCUAACUACGUG